RNAcentral lists this ribosomal RNA (253 nucleotides) under uncultured bacterium. RNAcentral's name for it is "partial 16S ribosomal RNA". It matches the Rfam family "Bacterial small subunit ribosomal RNA", at positions 524 to 776 of the family's 1533-position model. The record is from RNAcentral.
GACGGAGGGUGCUAGCGUUGUUCGGAAUUACUGGGCGUAAAGGGCGCGUAGGCGGCCUGGUCAGUCGGAUGUGAAAGCCCGGGGCUCAACCCCGGAACGGCAUCCGAGACGGCCAGGCUGGAGACCGGGAGAGGAGAGUGGAAUAGCCAGUGUAGAGGUGAAAUGCGCAGAUAUCAGGAAGAACACCCGUGGCGAAGGCGGCUCUCUGGUACGGAACUGACGCUGAGACGCGAAAGCGUGGGGAGCAAACAGG